This 253-nucleotide ribosomal RNA is filed under the name uncultured bacterium. RNAcentral describes it as "partial 16S ribosomal RNA". It matches the Rfam family "Bacterial small subunit ribosomal RNA", at positions 524 to 776 of the family's 1533-position model. The record is from RNAcentral.
GACAGAGGGGGCAAGCGUUGCUCGGAAUUACUGGGCGUAAAGGGCGCGUAGGCGGGAUGGCAAGUCGGUCGUGAAAUCCUUCGGCUCAACCGAAGAACGUCGAUCGAUACUGCUGUUCUUGAGGGUUGCAGAGGAGACUGGAAUUCCCGGUGUAGCGGUGAAAUGUGUAGAGAUCGGGAGGAACACCUAUGGCGAAGGCAGCUCGCUGGGACGUUACUGGCGCUGAGACGUGAAAGCGUGGGGAGCAAACAGG